Molecule: ribosomal RNA, 497 nt
Filed under: uncultured bacterium
Lineage: Bacteria
Description: partial 16S ribosomal RNA
Rfam family: Bacterial small subunit ribosomal RNA
Source: RNAcentral
GAUGAACGCUGGCGGCGUGCCUAAUACAUGCAAGUCGAGCGAACAGACGAGGAGCUUGCUCCUCUGACGUUAGCGGCGGACGGGUGAGUAACACGUGGAUAACCUACCUAUAAGACUGGGAUAACUUCGGGAAACCGGAGCUAAUACCGGAUAAUAUAUUGAACCGCAUGGUUCAAUAGUGAAAGACGGUUUUGCUGUCACUUAUAGAUGGAUCCGCGCCGCAUUAGCUAGUUGGUAAGGUAACGGCUUACCAAGGCAACGAUGCGUAGCCGACCUGAGAGGGUGAUCGGCCACACUGGAACUGAGACACGGUCCAGACUCCUACGGGAGGCAGCAGAAGGGAAUCUUCCGCAAUGGGCGAAAGCCUGACGGAGCAACGCCGCGUGAGUGAUGAAGGUCUUCGGAUCGUAAAACUCUGUUAUUAGGGAAGAACAAAUGUGUAAGUAACUAUGCACGUCUUGACGGUACCUAAUCAGAAAGCCACGGCUAACUACGUG